RNAcentral lists this long non-coding RNA (402 nucleotides) under Manihot esculenta (cassava). Its description in RNAcentral is "long non-coding RNA (MESC_LNC010111)". The record is from RNAcentral. Lineage: Eukaryota; Viridiplantae; Streptophyta; Magnoliopsida; Malpighiales; Euphorbiaceae.
UUUCUUUUGUCCGCUGGUGAUGUAUAACAAACUGUCUGUCAUUGGGCCACCUGUCCCUGCCAUGUUGAUACGGCCGUACGAGAAUAUCAGAUCCCUGCCCCCUGCGUAACGGCCUCUGAUUCCCCCGGGGCGUGCAUGCGGAUGGACCCACAAGACAGAUGGGUUGAUCCCCUUCCUGAUUCCGAGCUGGGCCUGAAGAUAGGAUUAAAGCUGAGCCCAGAUAGGACCUGUUUAAUGGGCCGUAUGGACUGGGUCGGCCUGAUUGAGGAAGCUAACAGAAGCCCGGUCUUAAAGCUGAGCGGACCGGACUUGGUUCAUGCGGGAGACUUGAGGGCCUCUGGAUAAUGGGCUAUUGUCAUGGGCCCGGCCCCAGACCGGGGUGAAGAAAUCUAGUGGUCAUCA